RNAcentral lists this ribosomal RNA (707 nucleotides) under uncultured bacterium. RNAcentral describes it as "bacterial SSU rRNA". It matches the Rfam family "Bacterial small subunit ribosomal RNA", at positions 94 to 803 of the family's 1533-position model. The record is from RNAcentral.
AGCGGCGGACGGGUGAGUAAUGCAUAGGAAUCUACCCGAUAGUGGGGGAUAACCUGGGGAAACCCAGGCUAAUACCGCAUACGUCCUACGGGAGAAAGGGGGCUCCGGCUCCCGCUAUGGGAUGAGCCUAUGUCGGAUUAGCUAGUUGGUGAGGUAACGGCUCACCAAGGCGACGAUCCGUAGCUGGUCUGAGAGGAUGAUCAGCCACAUCGGGACUGAGACACGGCCCGAACUCCUACGGGAGGCAGCAGUGGGGAAUAUUGGACAAUGGGGGAAACCCUGAUCCAGCCAUGCCGCGUAUGUGAAGAAGGCCCUCGGGUUGUAAAGCACUUUCAGCGAGGAAGAACGCCUAGCGGUUAAUACCCGCUAGGAAAGACAUCACUCGCAGAAGAAGCACCGGCUAACUCCGUGCCAGCAGCCGCGGUAAUACGGAGGGUGCAAGCGUUAAUCGGAAUUACUGGGCGUAAAGCGCGCGUAGGUGGCUUGAUAAGCCGGUUGUGAAAGCCCCGGGCUCAACCUGGGAACGGCAUCCGGAACUGUCAAGCUAGAGUGCAGGAGAGGAAGGUAGAAUUCCCGGUGUAGCAGUGAAAUGCGUAGAGAUCGGGAGGAAUACCAGUGGCGAAGGCGGCCUUCUGGACUGACACUGACACUGAGGUGCGAAAGCGUGGGUAGCAAACAGGAUUAGAUACCCUGGUAGUCCACGCCGA